AGUCUCGUAGCUCAGCUGGUUAGAGCGUUACACUGAUAAUGUAGAGGUCGGCAGUUCGAGUCUGCCCGAGACUA
RNAcentral lists this transfer RNA (74 nucleotides) under Flavobacteriaceae bacterium. RNAcentral describes it as "tRNA-Ile". It matches the Rfam family "tRNA". From Rfam's summary of the family: Transfer RNA (tRNA) molecules are approximately 80 nucleotides in length. Lineage: Bacteria; Pseudomonadati; Bacteroidota; Flavobacteriia; Flavobacteriales; Flavobacteriaceae. The record is from RNAcentral.